This 560-nucleotide small RNA is filed under the name Pongo abelii (Sumatran orangutan). RNAcentral's name for it is "retained intron". The record is from RNAcentral. Lineage: Eukaryota; Metazoa; Chordata; Mammalia; Primates; Hominidae.
GAUCCUGGGCCACCCCUACGACAUGGCCAUUGACAUGUGGAGCCUGGGGUGCAUCAUGGCAGAGUUGUACACGGGCUACCCCCUGUUUCCUGGGGAGAAUGAGGUGGAGCAGCUGGCCUGCAUCAUGGAGGUGCUGGGUCUGCCACCAGCUGGCUUCAUUCAGAUGGCCUCCAGGAGACAGACAUUCUUUGAUUCCAAAGGUUUUCCUAAAAAUAUAACCAACAACAGGGGGAACAAAAGAUACCCAGAUUCCAAGGACCUCACGAUGGUGCUGAAAACCUAUGACAGCAGCUUCCUGGACUUUCUCAGAAGGUGUUUGGUGUGAGUUUGUUGGGAUAUCUCUGUUUCUGGGUUUCCUCUUAAAUGCUAUACUUUGACACACGUUUGCUGGUGAAAGUCUAAGGCUGGGAGAUACUUAUAAAAGUAACAAGAAAUGCUAACAAUAGAGCCUUAAAGUCUACAAAUUGCUUCCACAUGUGUUGUCUCAUCAGCCAUCUCUCCCUACUGUGUGGUUGUCAGGGCAGAUGAUUUGCUCUGUUUUGCAUGUAUGGAGGUUGGGG